CGGAGGAAAAGAAACUAACAAGGAUUCCCCUAGUAGCGGCGAGCGAAGCGGGAAGAGCUCAAAUUUAUAAUCUGGCACCUUCGGUGUCCGAGUUGUAAUCUCUAGAAAUGUUUUCCGCGUUGGACCGCACACAAGUCUGUUGGAAUACAGCGGCAUAGUGGUGAGACCCCCGUAUAUGGUGCGGACGCCCAGCGCUUUGUGAUACAUUUUCGAAGAGUCGAGUUGUUUGGGAAUGCAGCUCAAAUUGGGUGGUAAAUUCCAUCUAAAGCUAAAUAUUGGCGAGAGACCGAUAGCGAACAAGUACCGUGAGGGAAAGAUGAAAAGCACUUUGGAAAGAGAGUUAACAGUACGUGAAAUUGUUGGAAGGGAAACGCUUGAAGUCAGACUUGCUUGCUGAGCAAUCGGUUUGCAGGCCAGCAUCAGUUUUCCGGGAUGGAUAAUGGUAGAGAGAAGGUAGCAGUUUCGGCUGUGUUAUAGCUCUCUGCUGGAUACAUCUUGGGGGACUGAGGAACGCAGUGUGCCUUUGGCGGGGGUUUCGACCUCUUCACACUUAGGAUGCUGGUGGAAUGGCUUUAAACGACCCGUCUUGAAACACGGACC
This 600-nucleotide ribosomal RNA is filed under the name Rhodotorula mucilaginosa. Its description in RNAcentral is "eukaryotic LSU rRNA". It matches the Rfam family "Eukaryotic large subunit ribosomal RNA", at positions 51 to 667 of the family's 3401-position model. The record is from RNAcentral. Lineage: Eukaryota; Fungi; Basidiomycota; Microbotryomycetes; Sporidiobolales; Sporidiobolaceae.